RNAcentral lists this ribosomal RNA (301 nucleotides) under uncultured bacterium. RNAcentral describes it as "partial 16S ribosomal RNA". It matches the Rfam family "Bacterial small subunit ribosomal RNA", at positions 509 to 807 of the family's 1533-position model. The record is from RNAcentral.
CAGUAGCCACGGGAAUACAGAGGGUGCGAGCGUUAAUCGGAUUUACUGGGCGUAAAGCGUGCGUAGGCGGCUUCUUAAGUCGGAUGUGAAAUCCCUGAGCUUAACUUAGGAAUUGCAUUCGAUACUGGGAAGCUAGAGUAUGGGAGAGGAUGGUAGAAUUCCAGGUGUAGCGGUGAAAUGCGUAGAGAUCUGGAGGAAUACCGAUGGCGAAGGCAGCCAUCUGGCCUAAUACUGACGCUGAGGUACGAAAGCGUGGGGAGCAAACAGGAUUAGAUACCCGCGUAGUCCCUGUCUCUUAUAC